CUCGUGUCGUGAGAUGUUCGGUUAAGUCCGCUAACCGAGCGCAACCCUCGUCCGUAUGUUAUAUGUGUCAUACGAGACUGCCGGUAAAAAAGCCGGGAGGAAGGUGAGGAUGAAUGUCAAGUCAGCAUGACCUUUAUAUCCAGGGCUACACACACGCUACAAUGGUCUGUACAAUGGGUAGCCAAGCCGCGAGGCGGAGCCAAUCCUGAAAGCAGGCCUCAGUUCAGAUUGCAGUCUGCAACCCGCCUGCAUGAAGUCGGAGUUGCUAGUAAACGCGCAUCAGCCAUGGCGCGUUGAAUACGUUCCCGGGCCUU
Molecule: ribosomal RNA, 314 nt
Filed under: uncultured Anaerolineaceae bacterium
Lineage: Bacteria; Bacillati; Chloroflexota; Anaerolineae; Anaerolineales; Anaerolineaceae
Description: bacterial SSU rRNA
Rfam family: Bacterial small subunit ribosomal RNA
Source: RNAcentral